Molecule: long non-coding RNA, 329 nt
Organism: Zea mays
Lineage: Eukaryota; Viridiplantae; Streptophyta; Magnoliopsida; Poales; Poaceae
Exons: 3
Source: RefSeq, a predicted model, not a curated record
CUUGCCCACGCUGCAACGACAUGUUUUGCGCUUUCUCCAAUGGCUAUAGGUACGUUUGGAUUUUUGUGGUCCACAAAUAGCAGCAAUUCUAUGCUUUCUUGCUUGAUACAGUGUGGCGGAUGACGACUUGCUUCUACUUGUACGGCUGGCCCAUCGGAUCCUCAGCGCUUUCUGUUCAUUUUGGUCGGGAACAAGAUUGAUUUAGAUGGCGGGAGCAAACGGAUGGUCAGUUUUCCUGAAUGCGCAAGCUUUCUCAUAUAUAUAUAUUCGAAAUACCCUGCAGUCUCUUUGCCUUUCCCGCAGGUUCCGGAGAAGAAAGCGAGGGAAUG